UAGAGGCCUACCAUGGUGGUAACGGGUAACGGGGAAUUAGGGUUCGAUUCCGGAGAGGGAGCCUGAGAAACGGCUACCACAUCCAAGGAAGGCAGCAGGCGCGCAAAUUACCCAAUCCCGACACGGGGAGGUAGUGACAAUAAAUAACAAUACGGGGCUCUUUCGGGUCUCGUAAUUGGAAUGAGUACAAUUUAAAUCCCUUAACGAGGAACAAUUGGAGGGCAAGUCUGGUGCCAGCAGCCGCGGUAAUUCCAGCUCCAAUAGCGUAUAUUAAAGUUGUUGCAGUUAAAAAGCUCGUAGUUGAAUUUCGGGAUUGACACAUCGGUCGUGCCUUAAGGGGUAUGAACUGGUGUAGUCAAUUUCUCACCUUCUGGAGAACCGCGAUGCCCUUAAUUGGGUGUCACGGGGAACCAGGACCUUUACUUUGAAAAAAUUAGAGUGUUUAAAGCAGGCAUUUUGCUUGAAUACAUUAGCAUGGAAUAAUAAAAUAGGACGGCAUGAUUCUAUUUUGUUGGUUCCUAGGAUCACCGUAAUGAUUAAUAGGGAUAGUUGGGGGCAUUAGUAUUUAAUUGUCAGAGGUGAAAUUCUUGGAUUUAUGAAAGACUAACUUCUGCGAAAACAUUUGCCAAGGAUGUUUUCAUUAAUCAAGAACGAAAGUUAGGGGAUCGAAGACGAUCAGAUACCGUCGUAGUCUUAACCAUAAACUAUGCCGACUAGGAAU
Molecule: ribosomal RNA, 721 nt
Filed under: uncultured fungus
Lineage: Eukaryota; Fungi
Description: SSU rRNA
Rfam family: Eukaryotic small subunit ribosomal RNA
Source: RNAcentral